UACGAAGGGGGCUAGCGUUGCUCGGAAUCACUGGGCGUAAAGCGCACUUCGGCGGAUUGCUCAUUCAGGGGUGAAAUCCUGGAGCUCAACUCCAGAACUGCCUUUGAUACUGGCGACCUUGAGUCCGGGAGAGGUGAGUGGAACUGCGAGUGUAGAGGUGAAAUUCGUAGAUAUUCGCAAGAACACCAGUGGCGAAGGCGGCUCACUGGCCCGGUACUGACGCUGAGGUGCGAAAGCGUGGGGAGCAAACAGG
RNAcentral lists this ribosomal RNA (253 nucleotides) under uncultured bacterium. RNAcentral's name for it is "partial 16S ribosomal RNA". It matches the Rfam family "Bacterial small subunit ribosomal RNA", at positions 524 to 776 of the family's 1533-position model. The record is from RNAcentral.